ACAUAGGGGGCAAGCGUUGUCCGGAAUCACUGGGCGUAAAGGGCGCGUAGGUGGUCUGUUAAGUCAGAUGUGAAAUGUAAGGGCUCAACUCUUAACGUGCAUCUGAUACUGGCAGACUUGAGUGCGGAAGAGGCAAGUGGAAUUCCUAGUGUAGCGGUGAAAUGCGUAGAUAUUAGGAGGAACACCAGUGGCGAAGGCGACUUGCUGGGCCGUAACUGACGCUGAGGCGCGAAAGCGUGGGGAGCAAACAG
This 251-nucleotide ribosomal RNA is filed under the name uncultured bacterium. Its description in RNAcentral is "partial 16S ribosomal RNA". It matches the Rfam family "Bacterial small subunit ribosomal RNA", at positions 525 to 775 of the family's 1533-position model. The record is from RNAcentral.